AGAAACUGGGGAAAUCCUGCUGAGUCCUGCUGGCUCCAGCAUCCAGUUCCCCCCUUGCAAACACUCGCGGUGUCGAGGCCGUGAGCUGGAAGGGAUGCUGAGGAUGGGAUGGCAGGGCUGGGUAGGCUGAUUGCAUUUGCUUUGGAAAAGCUGAUGUUUGUAUGAGCACUGGCUCCAGUGGUUCUAAAGGGAUCCACCCAGGAGCAAAUACCACCAGCUGAUAUCAGAGCUGUGCUGCUCCCAGCCCGGAUGGGGUGGAAAAGUCUCUGCUCUACACCCAGAUCCACGCUGGGUGGAGGAAGCCAUGGGAGCCAAAGCUGCCACUGCAGAACACAGGAAGCAAAGACUCCAGCACAGCUAACAGGGCUGGCAAAAAGUGAUCUUCCUUGGAAAUAUGGGGGAGGAAGGGUGAAGGUGCUGUUCGACACAUAGUCCAGCCGAGAUCAAUGCAGUCACCCUUGCUCCCAGCAGAUGUGCCCUGGUACCCAGCUGCUUCAGGAAAAGUGACUUUUAUCACUGAUGUGAGAAGAGAGGAUGCCCAGACACUUGGACUGUGCCUGUUUCAGGGCUGGGGCUAAACCUGCCCUUCUGCAGGGCUGCCAGAGGCCCCAGGGCAUUCCACCCCACAGCCUCUCCCCUUUCCCUGGAAACACCGGUGAGCUCAGCAAAGCACUGACAGCGUGCCUGGGAGAAACACAAACAUUUAUUAAGCCAGCUAUGGUUUUUUUUUUUUGAGAAUUAUUUUAACAGCGCCAGAGGACUUACCCUGUCUCCCCCAGGGACCCUCAGCUGAUUCAUUGCAUGCAGGGUUAGCAGCAAAGCAGGGGACAGCCAGCCUUGGGGACACGGUGGCUCACACAGCUGCUCCAGGGCAGGCAGAUGGAUGCUUUUCCAUAAGGGAACCCACUCCCAGUUUGCUGGGAUCCACCCAAGUCCUCAGCAGGUACCAUCUCUGAGAAUUUUGAGUGUUGUCCUGCUCUCCACAUCCAUCCAGGGGGGUUCUGAGGAUCUGCAGGGGAAGGGAGGGUGCUUGGGGCUCUCAGAACAGAGGGUGAUUUCCACUGAAGGUGCUGCUUCAGAGACACCAAGCUGAACCUGCCGUGCACCCAACCACCUUCCCAAGCACAGCCAGCUCACAUCUCUCAUCUGGAAAUCACAGCCAGUCACCUCCCUCUCUCUCAGCUUCCCACUGACAUCCUGAGACCUUGUCCUCACUCCUGCCAUCCCAGCAUGGACAGAUCCAAGCUGUGACCCACACAGGCAAGGGAACAACAGCACGAGGGUGAGAGCAAAGCCAUCACAGCACUGGGCUGGGGACAGGUGUACCCGUGGGUUCUGAACUCAGGA
Long non-coding RNA from Melozone crissalis (California towhee), 1347 nucleotides. RefSeq lists it as uncharacterized. The record is from RefSeq and is a predicted model, not a curated record. Lineage: Eukaryota; Metazoa; Chordata; Aves; Passeriformes; Passerellidae. The transcript has 2 exons.